RNAcentral lists this long non-coding RNA (217 nucleotides) under Manihot esculenta (cassava). RNAcentral describes it as "long non-coding RNA (MESC_LNC011539)". The record is from RNAcentral. Lineage: Eukaryota; Viridiplantae; Streptophyta; Magnoliopsida; Malpighiales; Euphorbiaceae.
UUGGGUAGAGGGGUUUUUGGUGGUGGAGUUGAAGAAGCAGACAGGGUUGGCUUGGGAGUUUGAUCUCCCUUGGGAGGAUGUCUCUCUGGGUUGCAAUGACCUGCCCCAGCUGAGCCUUACCGACUAGGUCAGAUUCCUUCGACUGACUUCUGUGGAGAAGAAGUAUGACGUCGAAAAGUGCUUGUUCGCGUCCAACCUUCAGGAUAUUAAGGACGCG